AUGAAGAACGCAGCGAAAUGCGAUACGUAGUGUGAAUUGCAGAAUUCCGCGAAUCAUCGAGUCUUUGAACGCAAGUUGCGCCCGAGGCUUGUCCGAGGGCAUUUCCGCUAGAGCGUCACCGCGCCCCCCACCGAUCCACUCUCGCCGCGAGGCGCGAGUCGGGUCGAGUGCAUGUGGCCGUCCCGGCGAAGCGGCCUUCUUUCACGAGGAGGCCGUACUUGGAAGGGUCGGCUGAAAUGGAUGGAAUGGAGCCGCCGUGGUGACACAGUCCGCGAUCGGGUGAUUUUGUCGCGAGCCUCCUCCGGGAGGCUCUUGGUGAAUUUUUCUAAGUGCUUGGCUGCGUCCCCCAGUUGGCUUCGGUUACCUCAUGCAGGUCGAGCGCGCCCCCGCGGCGCGCGUCACGCAUCAGACCUCUAAUCGGAAAAGACUACCCGCUGAGUUUAAGCAUAUCAAUAAGC
Molecule: ribosomal RNA, 458 nt
Filed under: Brachythecium salebrosum
Lineage: Eukaryota; Viridiplantae; Streptophyta; Bryopsida; Hypnales; Brachytheciaceae
Description: eukaryotic LSU rRNA
Rfam family: 5.8S ribosomal RNA (bases 1-118)
Source: RNAcentral